GAUCCUGGCUCAGGAUGAACGCUGGCGGCGUGCUUAACACAUGCAAGUCGAACGGGAAACCUAUUAUUGAAGCUUCGGCAGAUUUAGUUUGUUUCUAGUGGCGGACGGGUGAGUAACGCGUGGGUAACCUGCCCUAUACAGGGGGAUAACAACCAGAAAUGGUUGCUAAUACCGCAUAAGCGCACAGGACCGCAUGGUCCGGUGUGAAAAACUCCGGUGGUAUAGGAUGGACCCGCGUUGGAUUAGCUAGUUGGCAGGG
Molecule: ribosomal RNA, 259 nt
Filed under: uncultured bacterium
Lineage: Bacteria
Description: partial 16S ribosomal RNA
Rfam family: Bacterial small subunit ribosomal RNA
Source: RNAcentral